Molecule: long non-coding RNA, 1577 nt
Organism: Fundulus heteroclitus (mummichog)
Lineage: Eukaryota; Metazoa; Chordata; Actinopteri; Cyprinodontiformes; Fundulidae
Product: myelin-oligodendrocyte glycoprotein
Exons: 3
Source: RefSeq, a predicted model, not a curated record
AGGGGGCGUGGCCAUCUUGUUUGCUUUCAAAACCUACUUUCUCAAUCCCCGAUCUUGUUGUUUUCGACGUUCCUGCUACAGAUAUGACGGUUGUUCUGCGUUUCCUUGCAUGUUUGCCCUUGAUUCUGCAGAUUUCUGCGUCUGAUGUGGAGGUGGAACCAGGGGAGGAUGCUGUCCUGCCCUGUCAGGCCCCCAGCGGAGCAGCAGUCACCGUGGUGAAGUGGACCAAAGACGGUCAUCCAGCAGAUGAAUACCUGCUCCUCUACCGUAACAGCCGUUCCUAUGACAACCACCAGCCUGAAGCCUACAGGGGCCGCGUUGUUCUGAAGAACCCGGCGGUCGCCAGGGAUGGAGACUUCUCUGUGGUCCUGAAGAACGUCUCUAUGGAGGACACGGGGACGUACAGGUGUCUGGUUCUGAUGAGCACCAACACCAACGUGGCUGAACACCUGGUGGUCAUACGGCUGAGGACCGCGAUGCCUUCAGAACACCCUGAGGAACCGGACGUAGGUACCGCAGGAGCAGAUGACCCAGGAGAUGUCCAGAGUGUAGCUUCAGGAGAAGAAGCUGGUGUGAAGCUUCAUGUCGGGGUUGGACUGUCGGUGGCUUGUCUUGUUGCUGCUGUUGCUGUUGUUGGUUUCUUGGUGUUCAGGAGAAAGAAAAGUUCACAUCAGCAGCUGGCAGCAGAGCUAUAAACCAGGCGUGCAAAAAGGAACAAGAAGCAAAACUUAAAGUAUUUAAAGGUGAAAGUUUGGUUCUGGUGAGGCAAACAGAACCUAAAGGAACGUGUUAUUAUGGACUGGCCUGUUCUCCCUGGUAGUUGCUUUAUUAUAAGCUUUAUCUACUUCAGAGGAUGAAAACAGUGUUGUGUUGUUCUUAUUAAUCAGAGCAGACUAGCCCCCCCUCCUGUCCUCUGCAGGGUCCUGCUGUCUAACUGAACGCAGCAACGCUACAUUAUUAACACACCUUUUAGUACAGAUAGAAAUCUGCACUCUAGCAGAAGCUAAUGGGACAGAAGAUAGUUUGAUGUUUUGGAUUCAAUGUUUUUUUAGUUUGGGUCCAGUCAGCAUUGAUCUGAUCACUAGGUCCUGGUUGUCUGUGUUUAUGUCAGACCCUACCUCACUUCAGCAUUAAUUUAUUAAAAGCCAUGGAGCUUUGUGUUUUUGCACCUUUUUUUGCACUUCUCCCUCCUUUAGGAGCAUUUCCACCCCACAUCCAACACAUUUCCUCUCACAGAGGGAGAAUGCACCUUUUAUGUACAUUAUGUAGAUAAUGUAGAUAAUAUAGACAGGACGUGGUAGACGCUGGGUGCAGGAGUCUGGUGAUGGGAUAAACCUACCAGGGUUAAGCUGUUGUUGUUUUGUUGGAUUCAUUCACAGGUUUAACAUUUCCUUAACGGUCUCUGCACAUCUCUUCUAAUCAUUAGAACGUAGAGAUUAAUGUGAAACUACUACAAGGUUUUUCUUUCCUAUUUGUGAAUAACCUUCUGUUCAGUCUGAAUCUUUGUGAUUCUAUUUCUGUCUAUAAGCUAUAUUUUUGUACAUGUUUCUCAUAUAAAUAAAAAUGUUUUGAAUGUU